This 23-nucleotide non-coding RNA is filed under the name Cricetulus griseus (Chinese hamster). The record is from RNAcentral. Lineage: Eukaryota; Metazoa; Chordata; Mammalia; Rodentia; Cricetidae.
UCCCACUAGGAGGUUGUAAGAGC